GAUGAAGAACGUAGCGAAAUGCGAUACGUAAUGUGAAUUGCAGAAUUCAGUGAAUCAUCGAAUCUUUGAACGCAUAUUGCGCUCUCUGGUAUUCCGGAGAGCAUGCUUGUUUGAGUAUCAGUAAACACCUCAACUUCCAUAUCUUUUUUGAAAUGGGAGUUGGACUUGAGUGAUCCCAACGCUUUUCCUCACCGAAAAGUGGCGGGUUACUUGAAAUGCAGGUGCAGCUGGACUUUUCUCUGAGCUAUAAGCAUAUCUAUUUAGUCUGCCUAAAAAACAGGUUAUUACCUUUGCUGCAGCUAACAUAAAGGAGAUUAGUUCUUGUGCUGACUGAUGCAGGAUUCACAAAGACAGGCUUCGGCCGACUUUGUAAACUCGAUCUCAAAUCAAGUAAGACUACCCGCUGAACUUAAGCAUAUCAAUAAGCGGAGGA
This 433-nucleotide unclassified non-coding RNA is filed under the name soil metagenome. RNAcentral's name for it is "partial contains 5.8S ribosomal RNA, internal transcribed spacer 2, and large subunit ribosomal RNA". The stretch from base 1 to 120 matches the Rfam family "5.8S ribosomal RNA", at positions 35 to 154 of the family's 154-position model. The record is from RNAcentral.